This 74-nucleotide transfer RNA is filed under the name Anaerolineae bacterium. RNAcentral's name for it is "tRNA-Val". It matches the Rfam family "tRNA". From Rfam's summary of the family: Transfer RNA (tRNA) molecules are approximately 80 nucleotides in length. Their secondary structure includes four short double-helical elements and three loops (D, anti-codon, and T loops). Lineage: Bacteria; Bacillati; Chloroflexota; Anaerolineae. The record is from RNAcentral.
GGGCGCAUAGCUCAGUUGGUUAGAGCGCAUCGUUUACACCGAUGAGGUCAGGGGUUCGAGUCCCUUUGCGCCCA